GCUAGACUCAAUGGCACACGCCUGUAGUCCCAUAUUCUGGAGGUUGAGACAGGAGGAUUGCUUGAGUCCAGGAGUUCUGAGUUAUAGUGUGCUAUGCCGACCAGGUGUCCACAGCAAGUUUGGAACAAUAUGGUGACCUCCUGGGAGCAGGGGGCCACCAGGUUGCCUAAGGAGGGGUGGACCUGCCCAGGUCAGAAAUGGAGCAGGUCAAAACUCCCGUGCUGAUCAGUAGGAUCACGUCUGUGAAUAGCCAUUGCACUCCAGCCUGGGCAACAUAGUGAGACUCCAUCUCUU
Non-coding RNA from Otolemur garnettii (small-eared galago), 294 nucleotides. The record is from Rfam. NCBI's taxonomy places the organism in Eukaryota, Metazoa, Chordata, Mammalia, Primates, Galagidae.